GUCAGUAGGAUCGUUUGAUAUAGGAACCCAUUUACCUAAACAUUUUAACUCGCGUCAUCAAGGAUUUUGACUAAUUCACUUCUUGCAUCAUAAAAAUAAGAGUCAUGUUGAGAAGAAGUCUUCGUUUGGAGGAUGCAGGCUAUUACACAGAGGAGGGGACUCCAAUCAUUUCCUACAGGGAGGCCUGUUACAGGGUCUUUCAGAGGAGGAAAGGUCACCGUAGUCAUCACCACGAGUCAGUAGGCCACGAUGAAAACACCAGUAACACCAGUGAGACACAAAAUCUGAAUAUUGAGACCAGAGUCCCCACUCAGGCCAAUCACACUCGGACCCCUGCAGUACAGAUCAUCAUCAGCUGUCUCUGCGUCCUGCUCCUUCUGGUCGUUGGUGAGUUUCGUCCAAAUCUUGUCAAUAGUAGUGGUGUAAAUAAAACAAUCAUGGUAUAUAAUAUAUUGAUUCUUAAGACAACAAUACAAUAUUUACUG
Sander lucioperca (pikeperch) is the source of this 485-nucleotide long non-coding RNA. RefSeq lists it as uncharacterized. The record is from RefSeq and is a predicted model, not a curated record. The transcript is spliced from 3 exons. Lineage: Eukaryota; Metazoa; Chordata; Actinopteri; Perciformes; Percidae.